CCUACGGGGGGCAGCAGUGAGGAAUAUUGGUCAAUGGGCUUACGCCUGAACCAGCCAAGUCGCGUGAGGGAAGACUGCCCUAUGGGUUGUAAACCUCUUUUGUCAGGGAGCAACGCCGGCUACGUGUAGCCGGACUGAGAGUACCUGAAGAAAAAGCAUCGGUGAACUCCGUGCCAGCAGCCGCGGUAAUACGGGGGAUGCGAGGGUUAGCCGGUUUUAUUGGGUUUAAAGGUUGCGUAGGCGGAAUGCCAAGUCAGCGGUAAAAUCGCGGGGCUCAACCUCGCCCCGCCGUUGAAACUGGCGUUCUUGAGUGGGCGAGAGGUAUGCGGAAUGCGUGGUGUAGCGGUGAAAUGCUUAGAUAUCACGUAGAACUCCGAUUGCGAAGGCAGCAUACCGGCGCCCAACUGACGCUGAGGCACGAAAGCGUGGGUAUCGAACAGGAUUAGAUACCCCGGUAGUC
Molecule: ribosomal RNA, 460 nt
Filed under: uncultured bacterium
Lineage: Bacteria
Description: partial 16S ribosomal RNA
Rfam family: Bacterial small subunit ribosomal RNA
Source: RNAcentral